Molecule: ribosomal RNA, 325 nt
Filed under: uncultured bacterium
Lineage: Bacteria
Description: bacterial SSU rRNA
Rfam family: Bacterial small subunit ribosomal RNA
Source: RNAcentral
AGCGAACGCUGGCGGCGUGCUUAACACAUGCAAGCCGAGUGCGCGGCUCGUAGCAAUACGAGCUGGCGCACGGCGCACGGGUGCGUAACACGUGGGCAACAUGCCCUCCGAUGGGGAAUAACCCGCCGAAAGGACGGGCGUAAUACCGCAUACCACUUCCGGGAACCUCGGUUCCUGGCCUGAAAGACCCGCAAGGGCGUCGGUGGAGUGGCCCGCGGCCGAUUAGCUUGUUGGUGAGGUAACGGCGUCACCAAGGCAAUGAUCGGUAGCCGGUCUGAGAGGAUGAUCGGCCGACACUGGAACUGAGACACGGUCCAGACUCCUA